Bombus terrestris (buff-tailed bumblebee) is the source of this 855-nucleotide long non-coding RNA. RefSeq lists it as uncharacterized. The transcript has 3 exons. NCBI's taxonomy places the organism in Eukaryota, Metazoa, Arthropoda, Insecta, Hymenoptera, Apidae. The record is from RefSeq and is a predicted model, not a curated record.
AACGAUCUCGCAGUAAUUCGGAUUCGUUCGAUUUUAAACUACAAUUGUUUUACCGACAGAAUCUCUGAAUAAUUAUUUUGCUGGUAAAUUCUGCUGGUAUAUCGAUUAGAGUUUGGAAUCGAGCAAAUACGAAGUACAAGAUGGCUAUUGUUCUCACGUAGCAACAGUCUGAUAGUAUUUCAGAUUCGCUUGAUUUCAAACUUAGUUCCCUUGGUUUAAUUACUGAUUUAUCAGCUGGAUCAAAAUUUAAAGAAAAUGAAGAUCAAGUGUAGCGCAACGAAGCCCAUUCUCUGGAGUGAAACUUUUAGUUUCUCUUUCUUACGCGAUAAAGGAGAGGUGCAAGGAUUUAAAUAUUUAUAACAUUAUGACCUUUAUUCUUUAAGCAUGAAAAUAUUUUAAAUACAAGCAUAUAAAUAUUAUAUAUAAAUAUUUCUAUUUACAUAUACAUCAAGUAAAUUUACAUAUAUAUUUUCAUCUUGGUAAAAAGAACAUGUAUUUGGUAGCGCAAUUGAGAAGAUGUUAACGGCGCAGAAGGGAAACGAUACGGAGAUACUGAGGGCUUCCGGGUCGAGCGGAAAGCCCUCGGUAUCUCCGAACAAACCAAUGUCAGGUAAAGUGACAAAUUUGUUUUGGAAUAGCAAGAACCAAAAGCAGACGGAAUUCAGCGAACCGUCUCUCUGUUCUUCCCUAAAGGACCUAUUCAAGAAGUAAUGGGGAAGAACAAAUGCUAAUAAAUGUUAAGUGUCUCUAGUUUAAUUAACACUUCUUUAUCUAAGAAUUUCUUCCCUAAAAGACCUAUUCAUUAUGUAAUGUAGAAGCACAAAUACUAAUAAAUGCUAAGUUUCUCUCGUUUAA